Molecule: ribosomal RNA, 1524 nt
Filed under: Triticum aestivum (bread wheat)
Lineage: Eukaryota; Viridiplantae; Streptophyta; Magnoliopsida; Poales; Poaceae
Description: partial small subunit ribosomal RNA
Source: RNAcentral
AUGCAGGAUAAAAACAUGCCGCUGAACCUCAUACCUGCCGCUGGAAUGAAGUUCACCACAUACGACAAGGCAUGGGACUUUUACAACAAUUAUACAAGAUGUGCAGGGUUUGGCAUACGCCAGAGGGCACAACACAAGACAAAUACCUACAUUGUCUGCUCAAGAGAAGGGACGCACAAGCAGACUGUGUCAGAUUAUCAAAGGAAACGUCAGAAGACAUAAAAAAGGAUUGACUGCAAGGCAAAGAUUAGAGUCAAAAAGAGGAAGGACGACAAAUUUGUGAUAGAAAUGGUUGCACUCAACCACAAUCACAAGAUGCUGGAAAGCCCCGGGAUGCUUUUGCACAAGCGAUCGCACAAAAAAGACGAUCCUUUGAUAGACCAUGUGAAAGACAUGCAACUAGACAACCACACACAUGCUCAGAUGAUGUCAACGCUGUCGCGUAUGUCCGGUGGUCUGCAUUACAUGGGACAUACUAGCCGCGACUGGGUAAACAAGAAACAAAAGUUUGCCAGAGAAGAGUCCCAAGAUGAUGUCAAGAAACUUCUGGAUUUCUUCGAGAAGAUGCAGAAGAUAAACCCAGAGUUCUUCUAUGAUUAUGACGCCAACGCAAGUUGCAAAGGAUCGUAUGAAGAUUUUGGAAAUUGCGUUACAUUUGACACGACGUAUAAAACUAACAAAUUCCACAUGCCGCUGGGAGUCUUCGUGGGAGUGAACCAUCAUCUACAGAGCACCAUAUUUGCUGUUGCCCUCGUGCGAGAUGAGACAAUACCAUCGUCCGAGUGGUGUUCUUCAAUGAAGGCAGCAUUAAAAACUAUCCUCCCACAUACUCUGCAUAAGUUGUGUCGGUGGCAUAUCAUGAAGAAGUACAAAGACCACCUCGCCUUGCUGUAUAAGGCGCACGAGAAACUCAAGGAUUAUCUCAAUGCGGUGCUCAACCACCUACUAAUGCCGUCAUAAUUUGAACAAGCAUGGAAGGACCUCAUUUAGAGAUACAACUUGCAAGACGAUGAAGUGAUGAAUUCACUGUGGGAAGACAGGCACGAGUGGAAGGAAGUUUUCUGUGCUCGGAUGACUUCCAUGCAGAGAAGCGAGAGCCUGAACCGCAUACUGAAGCAAAAGUUUGUCAAAGAGAAGCAUGAUCUCCAUCUGUUUGCUCAGCAGGUGGACAAGUGCAUUCAGACCAGGAAGGCCGUCGAGCACGCAGAGACAGUAGCAAAUGAGUCAGAGGUAAAGACAACAACCCAGUUUGGGUUCGAAGUUCAGCUAUCAAAAGUGUAUACAAGGGCAGUGUUUGCAGAUUUCAAAGAAACACUCUACCAUAACACUGCAUUCAGAGCAGAACAGUGCCCUGAGAACCUAACAAAGUAUCUCGUACACCACUACAACAGAUUGGAUGCAUUUGACUGGGCAAGGCAUAAUUUCCAUGUGGUCGCCGAUGAACAGAAAGGUGUCCACGAAUGUGAAUGCAAACUCUGGACACACACAGGUGAGACUCCUAUCACAAAAAAUUCUAGUUUCUGA